Molecule: long non-coding RNA, 3783 nt
Organism: Peromyscus maniculatus bairdii (prairie deer mouse)
Lineage: Eukaryota; Metazoa; Chordata; Mammalia; Rodentia; Cricetidae
Source: RefSeq, a predicted model, not a curated record
CAAGCGGCGGCGCUGGGCUCGCUCCUCUCUUUCGCGCUCCCGUGCGCGCCGCGCCUCUCUAGCCCCUCGCUUCCUGCUCAGCAGCGCCUGCGAGUGCCCUCAGUAGCCAUUAUUCACUGGCCGCCGGGGGACAGGAGAUGGCUUUCCUGGUUGUUCCUUGGUGUGUCCUCUACUGACAGUGAACACAACUGGGGGAAUCUUCGCAGUGUUUCAAGCCUAGGAAGGACAACCCAUGGCCGCCAUGAAGAGAUUCAGUGUGGGGCCAGGGAAGCUGAAAGCAGGGCUAACGGGACUGGCUGAGCAGCUAACAGAGCUUCUGUGAUCUGCUGUCCAUGCUGAACCCAGAGCAGCUUCACACCCGGGCAUGGGAACCUAUCCCUCAGGAACCAUCAGCCAAAGCCUUCAUGAUGCCCCUCCCACCUGUUAAUUACCUUCCUGCCAUCUGUAACUUCAUCAUGCCAAAGAGGUCUCUUCUCAUCCAUUAACUGUCCUGUGAGUGAAUGGUCUUCUGCCUGGGUCCAACAUGGAUAACCUGUUACCUUCCCUCUUCCGAGCUCCAAUAUCAUUUAUGAGUACAUCAACCCAGGUUAGCUAUCAGACCUCCCUCGGUGUAGAUCUGAUGUGUUCUCAAACCGACCAAGCUAAUCUACUGCCAUAGCUCUGCUUUGCCAUUUACCUGUGGAGUACACUUGGCAUGCCAGUGGCAUGGAGUGGUGUAGGCAUUCACUGCCAGCCUGUGCCUUACUGUCCACAUUAGAACCCUCUGCCACAUAGCACUCCUUAGGGGAGGACAACAUGUUUCUCUUUGAAAGCAAAGAACUUUGUAUCUCAAUUGGUGGUGAUGCCACUGGGAAUGUGGGCAUCCCAAUUCAUAGUUUGUGGGAAAUUUUCAAACAGUCCAUGUGGUCCCUAGCCCACCUUCCUCUCCAGAUCCCACAGGCUGACAGUGGGGAUCAGAAAACCAGCUGGGUACCUAGGGCUGGUGCUGGCAAAAACAAGGUAGAAGGCUGCCCAGAUGACCAUUGCUCCCACUUAGGGACAGAAAUGCAUCUCUGCCUCUGCCCUAGGCUGGUGGGAUCUCUGAUGUAAGUGAAAAAGCAGGGAUCAGCCUAGAGCAGGCUCUCUCCAGCCGUCUUCCCUCUCAGCUGACUCUGAUCUCCAUCUGUGGUUCUCCCUACCAUCUGUCAGUCUGUCCAACCUUCCUCACUAGCCUGCUGAGGUCACCAGGGGCAGCCAGUGCCACUCUAGGCUCCUACAGAGCAAAUCCUAAAACAAAGCCUCUCAAUCUAACCCUAAGGAACUCUAGCUGCAGCAAAAGCAUCACUUCUGAACCCAGAGUCACUUCCUGGGGAGUCGAAGGUGAUCUCUCCAUUUAGGGUCUUAGCAGUGCUUCCGGGGUGCAGGUGCUUAACUUUUCUUCUAUCACAGGCCUGAGUGAACUUCUAGAAGCCUCGAAACUUAUUUGGUUGGGGCCAGUCGUACAGAGGCCUGGAGGGAAAGGAGGAAGCCAUCUGGGCUGUCGCCAUGGCUAGACCCGGAGGACAGCCUCACUAGGCCACAUAUGUCUUUAUCACAGCUGGAAUCCAAACCCGGGGAUGUGCAGGGAAUUCAGAAGGGGCCUACUGCCUAGGUAAGAGAGAGGAGCCCCUGCCCACCCGCAGUCUCCACUCUGGCACUUCGGCCACGGUUCUGCCACCCCUCCUCUGCUCCCUGCCUUCCUCUCCCUCUCAUUGGCUCUCAGCCUCCCUCCUGCAUCACCUAGCUGGUCUUCCUUUCCAGCUAUCCAAACCUCCUAUCUUUCCCCUCAUAUUCCAAAGAGCUUGUUCCUCCACCUCUAAGCCUCACCUGCAGUUUGGAGGCUUCCAGAAGAAAAAAUGAGUGUCUGUAUCAGGAAAGCACUGUCAAGACCUAUGUGCAAUGGCUGCUCAGAAACCAGCACAUGAACACACCACCUGGGUUGGGUUAGGCUGGGCACCUCACCUGGAUGCCACUCGGCCCCAGGUGCCCAAGAAUGGGAACAAUGAUGAUGCCAGCCUCUGCCUUUCUUCGGGGCCCAGGGAACUGAGGACAGUACCAAGUCUAGGAUGGUAGGCCAAGUCCUGGCCAGGCCUCUUAAGGCCUGACAACAGUCACAGACUUUGGGGGGAGGGGGAUGGAGAAGACUUGGAAAGAACUGAAGAGAUGGUAUAGCCAAACUCAUCUCACAGCGGGCUAGACGCCUGGGCUCAGCCAUGUGAAACAGUAGCAGGCUACAAGCAGAAGCCUCGGAGGUGGAAAAACUCUGAUGCACAGAGAUAUGUACAGGAGUCUACCUAGAUAUGGCACAUAAAAACCAAACCAAAACAAACAAACAAACAGCAGAAGAUGGUAUGGUGACAUACCUGUGUAAUUUCAGCACUUGGGAGGCCAAGGUAGGAGGAUUGCUACAAGUCUGAGACGAGCCUGGGCUAUAAAGUGAGUCUCUGUCAACAAAUAAAAUAAAUAUGGCAUGUGCAGUCAGGACAUGCAGACUCCUCUACUGUAAAGAAUGGUGUACCUUAUACAUACACAGGUGCCACCCAUCUGCCUUCACACUGCUGCUCUCAGGAUCAGAGUCCCUUGACUUGUGGGCCUCUCUGGAUGGCUCAGGACCUCUAGCCUCCUUUGAUCUGUGGCAACAGGAAUGCUCCCUAUGGACUUCUCCCGGCCCCAGGGCAAUGAGGACUUCCUGGAGACUGGGAGGACAAGGACACAGGGAAGAACCCUCACAGAGCCUGCUUCUGGGGACUAGGCCAGAGAGCUACUUGAACCUGCAGAGAUUUAGAUUACCUCCAGGAAGGAAUGAUGGGUGAUCAAAACUGACCCUGGUGUGGCCUUCCGAAGGCAGAGGCAGGAGGAUUGCCAGCUCUAGGCCAGUCUAGGCUAUGCUGCAAGGCUGUGUUGAAAACAACCAAACAACAAACACAGAAACCUGACCCUUGGUUCCGCAUGUUCAAAGCCCUGGGUUCAGUUCCCAGUACCAUAAAAAGAAUCUGUCCCUGGAAGGUCAGACAGAGUUCCUGAGGAGGACUUUCAUAGUCAGCUGUGUGAUGAUCUACCACAAAUCUGGGAAGAGGAGAAAGAGAUCAGGAUGUCUGUUCCAGUUUUCUGCCCAGCUUAGCUUCCUCCAGAAUCUCCUGGGUUGAGUUCAAAGGAAAGGUAGUUGAGGCCAGUGAGAUGGCUCAGCAAGUAAAGGUGUCUGCAGCCAAGCCUGAGGACCUGGGUUCAAUCCCCAGAUACACAAGGCAGAGCGAGAACCAACUCUGCACAGUACAAGGGUGAUUUUUUUUUUUAAAGGAAGGGUGACAUGCAGAGCUGGUUGCCCACUCUGCCAGACAUCCCACAUAGGACCUCACAGCAAACUUUUGAGGCAUAUGUUCAGAGUCCUCUAGAGCAAUGUUGAAACUGCAGCUUGGAGAACAGAAGAGACAUCGGCCUAAGUGACUGGGAGGCUGAGCCUCUCCCGGAAGGCUCCAAAGGCUCCAAAAAAACGUAAAGCAUGGUCUCUUCUGUUAAGGCCAGAAAUACAAUGGCACUGCUGUCUCUCCCUAAAUGCUGGUGACACUCUUGAAAAGAGGCCACUCAAGCCUACCUGGCUGAGGUGAGAAUACAGCUCCUAGGCCCUUAACUGCAGAAUGGACAGGGCAAAGAACCAAGUCUGCCAGCCAUGUUUCUCCCAGGUCUGUUUCUCACUCUAAGGCUGUUAGGCCUUUGAUUUGGAUAUGGUUGAGUCCCUCCCAACUCAUAAAGGAAUUUACCCCCUGG